RNAcentral lists this ribosomal RNA (364 nucleotides) under Staphylococcus aureus. RNAcentral's name for it is "partial 23S ribosomal RNA". It matches the Rfam family "Bacterial large subunit ribosomal RNA", at positions 1083 to 1452 of the family's 2925-position model. The record is from RNAcentral. Lineage: Bacteria; Bacillati; Bacillota; Bacilli; Caryophanales; Staphylococcaceae.
GCCCAGACAACUAGGAUGUUGGCUUAGAAGCAGCCAUCAUUUAAAGAGUGCGUAAUAGCUCACUAGUCGAGUGACACUGCGCCGAAAAUGUACCGGGGCUAAACAUAUUACCGAAGCUGUGGAUUGUCCUUUGGACAAUGGUAGGAGAGCGUUCUAAGGGCGUUGAAGCAUGAUCGUAAGGACAUGUGGAGCGCUUAGAAGUGAGAAUGCCGGUGUGAGUAGCGAAAGACGGGUGAGAAUCCCGUCCACCGAUUGACUAAGGUUUCCAGAGGAAGGCUCGUCCGCUCUGGGUUAGUCGGGUCCUAAGCUGAGGCCGACAGGCGUAGGCGAUGGAUAACAGGUUGAUAUUCCUGUACCACCUAUA